RNAcentral lists this ribosomal RNA (403 nucleotides) under Verrucomicrobiota bacterium. Its description in RNAcentral is "Verrucomicrobia bacterium partial 16S ribosomal RNA". It matches the Rfam family "Bacterial small subunit ribosomal RNA", at positions 355 to 776 of the family's 1533-position model. Lineage: Bacteria; Pseudomonadati; Verrucomicrobiota. The record is from RNAcentral.
UGGGGAAUAUUGCACAAUGGGGGAAACCCUGAUGCAGCGACGCCGCGUGAGCGAAGAAGGUUUUCGAAUCGUAAAGCUCUGUCCUAUGAGAAGAUAAUGACGGUAUCAUAGGAGGAAGCCCCGGCUAAAUACGUGCCAGCAGCCGCGGUAAUACGUAUGGGGCGAGCGUUGUCCGGAAUUAUUGGGCGUAAAGGGUACGUAGGCGGUCUAUUAAGUCAGGUGUGAAAGCGUGAGGCUUAACCUCAUUAAGCACUUGAAACUGAUAGACUUGAGUGAAGGAGAGGAAAGUGGAAUUCCUAGUGGAACGGUGAAAUGCGUAGAUAUUAGGAGGAAUACCGGUGGCGAAGGCGACUUUCUGGACUUUUUCUGACGCUCAGGUACGAAAGCGUGGGGAGCAAACAGG